UGGGCGGCGAGCGGCGGACGGGUGAGUAAUGCCUGGGAAAUUGCCCUGAUGUGGGGGAUAACCAUUGGAAACGAUGGCUAAUACCGCAUGAUAGCUUCGGCUCAAAGAGGGGGACCUUCGGGCCUCUCGCGUCAGGAUAUGCCCAGGUGGGAUUAGCUAGUUGGUGAGGUAAGGGCUCACCAAGGCGACGAUCCCUAGCUGGUCUGAGAGGAUGAUCAGCCACACUGGAACUGAGACACGGUCCAGACUCCUACGGGAGGCAGCAGUGGGGAAUAUUGCACAAUGGGCGCAAGCCUGAUGCAGCCAUGCCGCGUGUAUGAAGAAGGCCUUCGGGUUGUAAAGUACUUUCAGCAGUGAGGAAGGAGGUAUCGUUAAUAGCGGUAUCUUUUGACGUUAGCUGCAGAAGAAGCACCGGCUAACUCCGUGCCAGCAGCCGCGGUAAUACGGAGGGUGCGAGCGUUAAUCGGAAUUACUGGGCGUAAAGCGCAUGCAGGUGGUUUGUUAAGUCAGAUGUGAAAGCCCGGGGCUCAACCUCGGAAUUGCAUUUGAAACUGGCAGGCUAGAGUACUGUAGAGGGGGGUAGAAUUUCAGGUGUAGCGGUGAAAUGCGUAGAGAUCUGAAGGAAUA
This 627-nucleotide ribosomal RNA is filed under the name Allomonas enterica. RNAcentral's name for it is "bacterial SSU rRNA". It matches the Rfam family "Bacterial small subunit ribosomal RNA", at positions 85 to 708 of the family's 1533-position model. Lineage: Bacteria; Pseudomonadati; Pseudomonadota; Gammaproteobacteria; Vibrionales; Vibrionaceae. The record is from RNAcentral.